RNAcentral lists this ribosomal RNA (374 nucleotides) under Paravonones sp. MZSP 73162. RNAcentral's name for it is "partial small subunit ribosomal RNA". The record is from RNAcentral. Lineage: Eukaryota; Metazoa; Arthropoda; Arachnida; Opiliones; Cosmetidae.
GGAUUAGAUACCCUAGUAUGUAAAAUUUAUGAAAUUAUUAUGACAAGAAAUUUAAAAUUUUUGGCGGUUAAUUAUUAUUAUAGAGGAGCUUGUUUUUAGAAAUUACUCUAUAUAUUUUAUUAAUAUGUGUUUAUUUAUCUCCGUUAUAAGGUAAUUACUUUAUAAAAUUUAAGUUUAUACUUCAGGUCAAGAUGUAGCAAUUAUUAAGAGGAAUUAGCUACAUUAAUGAAAUUAUGAAUAAUAAGAAGUAUUAAUUUUAUAUGAAAUUGAAUCUAAUUGUAAUUUAGUUUAAAAUGAUUAGAUGAAUUGACGUAAUUUAUGUACAUAUUGCCCGUCACUUCUUCCGGGGAGGGAGAAUAAGUCGUAACAAAGUA